UACGGAGGGUGCAAGCGUUAUCCGGAUUCACUGGGUUUAAAGGGUGCGUAGGUGGGUUGUAAGUCAGUGGUGAAAUCUCCAGGCUUAACUUGGAAACUGCCAUUGAUACUAUCAAUCUUGAAUACCGUGGAGGUCAGCGGAAUAUGUCAUGUAGCGGUGAAAUGCUUAGAUAUGACAUAGAACACCAAUUGCGAAGGCAGCUGGCUACACGAAUAUUGACACUGAUGCACGAAAGCGUGGGGAUCAAACAGG
RNAcentral lists this ribosomal RNA (252 nucleotides) under uncultured bacterium. RNAcentral's name for it is "partial 16S ribosomal RNA". It matches the Rfam family "Bacterial small subunit ribosomal RNA", at positions 524 to 776 of the family's 1533-position model. The record is from RNAcentral.